CCUACGGGAGGCAGCAGUGGGGAAUAUUGCACAAUGGGGGAAACCCUGAUUCAGCGACGCCGCGUGAGUGAAGAAGUAUCUCGGUACGUAAAGCUCUAUCAGCAGGGAAGAAAAUGACGGUACCUGACUAAGAAGCCCCGGCUAACUAAGUGCCAGCAGCUUCGGUAAUACGUAGGGGGCAAGCGUUAUCCGGAUUUACUGGGUGUAAAGGGAGCGACGAAGGGAGAACAAGUCUGGAGUGAAAUCCCGGGGCUUAACCCCGGAGCUGCUUUGGAAACGGUGCGGCUGGAGUUCAGGAGGGGUAAGCGGAAUUCCUAGUGUAGCGGUGAAAUGCGUAGAUAUUAGGAGGAACACCGGUGGCGAAGGCGGCUUACUGGACUGUAACUGACGUUGAGGCUCGAAAGCGGGGAGAGCAAACAGGAUUAGAUACCCUUGUAGUC
RNAcentral lists this ribosomal RNA (440 nucleotides) under uncultured bacterium. Its description in RNAcentral is "partial 16S ribosomal RNA". It matches the Rfam family "Bacterial small subunit ribosomal RNA", at positions 338 to 795 of the family's 1533-position model. The record is from RNAcentral.